ACAGUAGCAGAUCGAGUAAAGGCCAAGGGAAACAAAAACAUUAUGGAAUGGCAGCAACACCAUCAACCAUAACUUGUUUAGUUUCAUACAUUUGUAUUCAUAGCCAUAGAAUAAAAUCUUUGCGGGCAGCAUAGUCAAACAGAAAGCGGAAGAACUGGAAAUGGAAAGUGACAGAAGCAGCACUGCAGGCAUAAUACGGCAUGUCUAAACUUUUAGACAUAGAGGAACCAACUCAAGGCAAACAACGUAAGAAAAGAAAAGGCAGCAGCUUGAAG
Molecule: long non-coding RNA, 275 nt
Filed under: Populus trichocarpa (black cottonwood)
Lineage: Eukaryota; Viridiplantae; Streptophyta; Magnoliopsida; Malpighiales; Salicaceae
Description: long non-coding RNA (PTRI_LNC002258)
Source: RNAcentral